Molecule: long non-coding RNA, 1205 nt
Organism: Anolis carolinensis (green anole)
Lineage: Eukaryota; Metazoa; Chordata; Lepidosauria; Squamata; Anolidae
Exons: 2
Source: RefSeq, a predicted model, not a curated record
GUGACGUGUGGGGAGGCGGAGCUUGUCUCGACCAAUCCGAGCUUCUCCUUCUCCUUGGCCACCAUGUUCCGGAAGAGGAGGACCCUCUGCAAGGACAGGACAGGAAGGACCGCCCUCAGAGGCCGCCAGGGCAGGAAGGUGUUGCCCGUACUUGCGCAGCCAGUGGUCGUCCGGGGCGAAGCGUCUCCGGCAGUCCCGCUCGUAGAGGACCAUCAGCCACCCGUGGACCGAGUGGAAGAGCUCCAGGGUCUCCCCUUUGGCGCUCUCUAGACAGGGAAGAAUAGUAAUAAAUAAUAAUAAUAAUAAUAAUAAUAAUAUACGUAUGGAUGGAUGGAUGGAUGGACGUGGGGUGGGGUCCCCGGCCGAUGCCCGUGAGAGCCCUUACCCACGAUGCCGUCCCAGAUCAUCUUGAAGACGAAGGAGUUGAGGAAGGAGGAGAUGGUCACCAGCUCUUCCAGCUUGAAGGAGACCUGCUCCUCGUACACCUCAAUGUCGUCCAGGAUCCUACAAGAUAGAAUAGUUGUUGGUUUAUGGUUGUAUGUAUAUGAAAUGUAAAUCAAGUGUUUUCCGCUGUUUCAGCAAUGAAACAGUUAACAGCAGGCUAGUUUUGACUGACAGCCUGCUAUGACCUAUCAGGCAUGAUUUCCGGCCUUGGAAGUCGGGAACUUCCUUCAGACUGAGGAAUGUGCUUUCUUAUCUCUGCGAGUGUUGAGCUGGUGCUUGCCGAGCGAAGAGGCUAAAGAAGAAUGCCAGCUCAGAGCGAUGGCUUUUGCUGUGCUUUGUAAAUAUGUUUGUAGAUAUUGAAUAAAUGUUUGGACUUCAGACAACAGAUGUGUUUGAGUCUGACAUUGAAGAGAGGAAUUGGUGUGGCAGACGAUUGCAUUGGAUUAUGGUUGUAUGUAUAUGAAAUGUAAAUCACGUGUUUUCUGCUGUUGUGCAAAAGUGUGUUUCAGAAAUGAAACGGUUAACAGCAGGCUAGUUUUGAUUGACAGCCUGUUGUGAUUUCUAUGACCUAUCAGGCAUGGUUUCCUGCUUUGGAGGUCGGAACUUCUUUCAGACUGAGGAAUGUGCUUUCUUAUCUCUGCGAGUGUUGAGCUGGUGCUUGCCGAGCGAAGAGGCUAAAGAGAAUGCCAGCUCAGAGCGAUGGCUUUUGCUGUGCUUUGUAAAUAUGUAUUAUAGAUAUUGAAAUAAAUGUUUGGACUUCA